CUGCCUUCUGGUCGGGGGCAACCACUGGAAACGGUGGCUAAUACCGGAUGUGCCGAAGGGUAAAAGAUUAAUUGCCAGAAGAGGAGCUCGCGUCUGAUUAGCUAGUUGGUAGGGUAAAAGCCUACCAAGGCAUCGAUCAGUAGCUGGUCUGAGAGGACGAUCAGCCACACUGGGACUGAGACACGGCCCAGACUCCUACGGGAGGCAGCAGUGGGGAAUUUUCCGCAACGGGCGAAAGCCUGACGGAGCAAGACCGCGUGAGGGAAGAAGGCUCUUGGGUCGUAAACCUCUUUUGUUAGGGAAGAACACAAUGACGGUACCUAACGAAUCAGCCUCGGCUAACUCCGUGCCAGCAGCCGCGGUAAUACGGAGGAGGCAAGCGUUAUCCGGAAUUAUCGGGCGUAAAGCGUCCGCAGGUGGCGAUUCAAGUCUGUCGUCAAAGACUGGGGCUUAACCCUGGAAAGGCGGUGGAAACUGAAGCGCUAGAGUGCGGUAGGGGUAGAGGGAAUUCCCGGUGUAGCGGUGAAAUGCGUAGAGAUCGGGAAGAACAUCGGUGGCGAAAGCGCUCUACUGGACCGCAACUGACACUCAGGGACGAAAGCUAGGGGAGCGAAUGGGAUUAGAUACCCCAGUAGUCCUAGCCGUA
RNAcentral lists this ribosomal RNA (646 nucleotides) under uncultured cyanobacterium. RNAcentral describes it as "bacterial SSU rRNA". It matches the Rfam family "Bacterial small subunit ribosomal RNA", at positions 126 to 804 of the family's 1533-position model. The record is from RNAcentral. Lineage: Bacteria; Bacillati; Cyanobacteriota.